ACACACGGCACAAGAUGGCCGGAGAGGCAGCAGCACUGCGAGCUGUCAGGCGUUCCUCCGCGGCCGCGGUGCCCGCCGGUCGGCGGGGAGCUGCGCCCGGGAGGCCCGCAGGCUCGCGGGAACCCAGCGGCUGCGGAUGGGGCGAGGCGGGCCGCGGGCAACUUACAAGAUUAAAAUUAAAUUUGGUUGAUGAUGGUUCUGGACAAAUACAGCUCUUUUAUUUGAGGUAUGCCAUUUUGAAGACAGACCCGUGGAAUUUUAUCCUUGAGGAUAGGGGAAAUCUUUGUGAAAGUCUGUAUUUUAUAAAGCAACAAUAUGAAUCCUGAGGCUGAAUUGUCUAAGGGGCCUGUACAGCGAAAUAGAUCACCCAGUCAGCUUGAAGAGUCUCAAAUGGACCCUACAACUGAGAAAUCAAGAUGGCAGUCCACUAUGGGAAAUGAGAAAAAUGGACUAAUGCAAGAGUGCUGUGAUAAUAACAACCAAGACAGGGUUCUUUUAACAUGGAUUUCAUGAAUGAAGAUAUAGGUUUCUUAACCAACACAAUGGACAGUGGAUUUGACUUUGGAAAGACUUUUUGUAUCAUAAAAACAAGAACAUUUUUGACACUUGGAGAAGAAAGAUGACACAUUAACAGAUGAUAGUGUGUAUGCCUGGAAUUUUUUGGUUUGAUUUGUAUGAGAAUGACCUUGUGGAAUGUUAACUUUAAUAAAAUUUCUAACAGU
RNAcentral lists this long non-coding RNA (722 nucleotides) under Sus scrofa (pig). Its description in RNAcentral is "lncRNA (ENSSSCG00025002323.1)". The record is from RNAcentral. Lineage: Eukaryota; Metazoa; Chordata; Mammalia; Artiodactyla; Suidae.